GUAUCAAAUUCUGUGUCUCCAACCUGCCUGAGUCUCCCAACGGUUGCCCUGUGGAGGACAUGCGGAAUGGGCGAUUAUCUCUAGUGGACAUGCGCCACCCACAUUUCAAAAGCUGUUUCAAGGGUACAUUGGGAAAAUGAACCCCUGUUUCAUCACAAGACGACGCUCUUCAGGCGACCCUGGCUGAGUGCUUUAACGACAUCUUGUGGUGUGAUGGAUUCUCAAUUCUGCGUGGUUCUACUAGAUUCCCAUAUUGUUAUACCAUUACGCCUGUGAAACCGGCUACUUUCAAUGGUUGAACCAGACCGACUGUAUUGGCCGCGAAUUCACGAUUCUUGUUUCUUGCUUGCUCGUCUUCUCGAUCCUUUAAGAAUACCCUACAUGGUUCAGCGCUAGCCUACUUGUUCCGUGCCUCUCUCGAUUGUUUUUCACUGUCAACUCCUUUCUGGAGCCUGUUUGCGGAUGUGACGGGAAUCUCAGAAGGCGGAGAUAGGAAAGAUCCUAUCAUUCACAUGAGGCGGAAACUCAGGGAGAACAUGACAAACGUUAUGCCAUUAUUACUAUGUAUGCAUAUUGGUCAAUAUAUAUAUCCGAUCUUAAAUCAAGCGGAUGGUGUUUAAAAGCACAGCACUGUAAAAAAACAUGAAAGAGAAGCAGAAUACGUUUAAGUGGAGAGAAAACCAAGCCGGGGCGUGAAAACCAGAUGGGAGUAACAGCAGGUCAACAGGAGACAAUAAGAGCCACCGGAAGCACCAUACCCCUUUUCUAAGGACCUCUCGAAAAGCUGCCUCAUCCUGUUUGGGAUACCAUAUCAGCACGUAGCCUUUUCCCCACCCACCCAACCAAAAUACGACAAAGGGGAAAACCACGUAACCUAGCACCUUUCAUCAUAAAGAACCCCGCGCGACAUCUUUCUUCAUCAUCUUGACUUCGUAAAACCCCAUCUACUGUCCUCACCGCCUCCUCGCACCCUUCAUAAUAAGCCCUCCAACCACCCCAGCCGCAAGUGCCACGCCUCCCAAGAUCGCAACACCAACCAACCCUUCCUUCGCAACCUUCUCGUCAAUCAGCGUCCGCAAACUGGCCGCCUGUAGAUUCCCCGGCUCAUGGUCGAGAAGGAGGUCGUUGUAUCUGCGCGCCUCACCAUAGUUGCCUAGCUUGUAGUUGCCGAGUGCGAGAUAGUAGAGGCAUUCGCGUCGUCGUUCGCGGGCCGAUUUGAAUAUUUCGGACAGCAGUCGGACACCCUCUUGUUGUUCUUGGCGCGUGUUGGAUUUUAUGAGGCCCUGCAAGGGAAGUUUUGGGGAGGAAGGUUAAAAUGUUUAGUUGGUUGUAUUCUUUUCGAUGAGUGGGUGCAAUAGAAUUGGAGGGCGGAUCCGCGGGAGGGAAUAAUAAUCGAUGAAUAGAAUAAGGUGGAGGGAUGUUUUAUAUACCCAAGCAUAAUUGAAUUUGGUCUGCACGCCGACAUAUUCCCCUUCCUUUUCGUAUUGGGCUCGCAGAACUUGGAGUUCAGCGGGUUUCAGCGGGCUGCGGGAUGGUAUAGAGAUAUCAGUUAUUUGCCUUCUUCAACAACAAACGACGGAAAUUUUCCACAACUGGAAGGACUCCUUUCAUAAGAACCGAUGUCGAUUAUGGAGGGGCGGGCCUAGAUUAUAGCACUGACCUCUCAGCAUCCGCCGCAUCUAGAUUUGAGAUAAAUCGUUUAGCAAACAACAACUUG
Molecule: small RNA, 1717 nt
Filed under: Histoplasma capsulatum
Lineage: Eukaryota; Fungi; Ascomycota; Eurotiomycetes; Onygenales; Ajellomycetaceae
Description: hypothetical RNA
Source: RNAcentral